Molecule: ribosomal RNA, 324 nt
Filed under: uncultured eukaryote
Lineage: Eukaryota
Description: partial 18S ribosomal RNA
Rfam family: Eukaryotic small subunit ribosomal RNA
Source: RNAcentral
CCCUUAGAUGUUCUGGGCCGCACGCGCGCUACACUGAUGCAUUCAACGAGUUUCUUCCUGGUCCGAGAGGAAUGGGUAACCUUUUGAAAGUGCAUCGUGAUAGGGAUAGACUAUUGCAAUUAUUGGUCUUCAACGAGGAAUUCCUAGUAGACGUAGUUCAUCAGACUGCAUCGAUUACGUCCCUGCCCUUUGUACACACCGCCCGUCGCUCCUACCGAUUGAAUGCUCAGGUGAGCCAUUCGGACUUUCAUCAUGCUGGUUUCCAGUUUUGAUGAAGGAAAGUCUUGCGAACCUUAUCAUUUAGCGGAAGGAGAAGUCGUAACA